ACAUAAUAGCUAUUGUUCACUGUUUGUCAAUUAUCAGUCUAACAGACAAUUCACUGACCUACUUUCAGCAAUGCAAAUUUUAAGCUAAUGCAUAAAAAAAUAGGCACGACAGUGAUGAUUUAA
This is a long non-coding RNA of Haliotis rubra (blacklip abalone), 123 nucleotides long. RefSeq lists it as uncharacterized. The transcript has 3 exons. Lineage: Eukaryota; Metazoa; Mollusca; Gastropoda; Lepetellida; Haliotidae. The record is from RefSeq and is a predicted model, not a curated record.